UGGGGAAUAUUGGACAAUGGGCGAAAGCCUGAUCCAGCAAUACCGCGUGUGUGAAGAAGGCCUGAGGGUUGUAAAGCACUUUCAAUAGGAAGGAAUACCUAGUCGCGAAUACCGACUAGACUGACAUUACCUAUACAAGAAGCACCGGCUAACUCCGUGCCAGCAGCCGCGGUAAUACGGAGGGUGCAAGCGUUAAUCGGAAUUACUGGGCGUAAAGCGUGCGUAGGCGGUUCGUUAAGUUAGAUGUGAAAGCCCUGGGCUUAACCUGGGAACUGCAUUUAAAACUGGCGAACUAGAGUUUAAGAGAGGGGAGUGGAAUUUCAGGUGUAGCGGUGAAAUGCGUAGAGAUCUGAAGGAACACCAGUGGCGAAGGCGACUCCCUGGCUUAAAACUGACGCUG
This 400-nucleotide ribosomal RNA is filed under the name uncultured Methylomonas sp. RNAcentral describes it as "bacterial SSU rRNA". It matches the Rfam family "Bacterial small subunit ribosomal RNA", at positions 355 to 748 of the family's 1533-position model. The record is from RNAcentral. Lineage: Bacteria; Pseudomonadati; Pseudomonadota; Gammaproteobacteria; Methylococcales; Methylococcaceae.